Non-coding RNA from Armillaria novae-zelandiae, 82 nucleotides. The record is from the annotation of a GenBank genome assembly. NCBI's taxonomy places the organism in Eukaryota, Fungi, Basidiomycota, Agaricomycetes, Agaricales, Physalacriaceae.
GCUCUUGUGGCGUAGUGGUAGCGCGUCGCACUUGUACCGAAAUUGCAUGCGAAGGUCACUCGUUCAAUCCGGGUCGGGAGCA